RNAcentral lists this ribosomal RNA (253 nucleotides) under uncultured bacterium. RNAcentral's name for it is "partial 16S ribosomal RNA". It matches the Rfam family "Bacterial small subunit ribosomal RNA", at positions 524 to 776 of the family's 1533-position model. The record is from RNAcentral.
GACGAACCGUGCGAACGUUGUUCGGAAUCACUGGGCUUAAAGGGCGCGUAGGCGGGCUGCCAAGUCUGGGGUGAAAUCCCACGGCUCAACCGUGGAACUGCCUCGGAUACUGGCGGUCUCGAGGGAGGUAGGGGCAUGCGGAACUGUGGGUGGAGCGGUGAAAUGCGUUGAUAUCCACAGGAACUCCGGUGGCGAAAGCGGCGUGCUGGACCUCUUCUGACGCUGAGGCGCGAAAGCGUGGGGAGCAAACAGG